CAGAAAAGAGUAUGUUGCGUUGUAAUUUAUUUUACUGAGUUGUUGAAUCCCAUCAACCUGUGGUUUUGGCGCUGGCGAUUCGAAUAUUUCAAAGAUAAGGUUCCAAGCUGUUGGAGUAGGCUCCCACGUCGAAGGUUGGGUGUUAAACCUUACAGUACUUCCAAAAUUCCCCGGCCAACCAUUGUAGCGAACUUGUUGGCCAGCGUUGUUUAGAUACAAGAGGAGGCCAUCAUCUCCAAGCACUAAGCUGUACUUUCGAUCGGAGCCAUCAACAUCAGAAGUUCGACUGACAAGCUUGUUUACGCCACUCCCGCGAAGGGACUGCCCAACUAGUAACGAAUCAACUGGAUAAUCAAAGCUUUGCCAAAUGAACUUUCCCUUUGUAUCAUACAGCACAAGGUUGCCAUUCUGGAGUAAUUUGAUGCCCGUGACACCCUUGUUAGCCGUGUUGGUUUGCCACACAAGGCCGCCGUCAGAGUCGGCUAGGACCAAGUUUCCAUCCCGGCCGAAAGAAAGGGUGGCGUUUUCUUUCACGGGGUGGUUGCGGUUGGCGUCCCAAACCCAUCGCAUUAGGCCCUCGUCAUCUGGGAUGCCAACACGAAUGCCAAGCACGAAAGAAGUUGGGGUGGUGUUGUAGAAACACAGUCUGAAGGGGAAUGUGUAGAAAUCAUAGACAUCAUUGGUUAUGAUGCGAUAAGUUGCCCCAUACUCAGCUGUGGGUACGAAAUUUUGGAAUUCUCCCAGUGGACCUGUGUUGACAAUUUUGAAGGUAUUGUUUGUUGGCACUUGAGCUCUGGUGCUAAUGGCCAAGAAACAGAGGAGGAGGAGAAUGCUAAGACAGGGUGAAAAUGGAAAGGUACGACGAGCCAUUGGAAUUCUUUUUGUGCAAUAAGGAAUAAAGGGCAAGCUAAUCAGUUGGAAAUGGAAUGAGAGAUAUGAAGUGGGUUGUAACCAUUUGGUAUUUAUAGAUUUUUUUUAUUGGUUUUUCUGCAUACAAUUGUUGAAAUUUGAAAACUGAUCAAAAAAAUAUUGAAAAUUGAAAUUUGAAUUUCAACGUCAAAGUUGGUAACCUGCAAACAAGAUUGAGCAUCCAUCUAGUAACAUAGUAUUACAUAAUUUUGUUCUAUGUCGUUUUGGUUGUCAAAUGAUUAUAAUGUACAACACAAUUUUUUAUAAGGGAAAACGAAACAAAUAAUCCCUUACAUAUUACUUAUUUAAUCAUUCACAUACAUAAAAAUGCAAAUUCAUCCUUUAAAUAUAUAAGGGAUAAUUUUAGAAACCUCCCUGAGGUUUCUAAUAAUUUCACAAAGCUCCCCUUAAUAUUUCAAAAUUACACAUACCUCCCCUAUUGCUGUAAAAGUACUCUACUACCCCUAUAUAGGAUACUUAAUGACUUUUUCUUUUUGGAAAUUUCAGAAAUUUCAAGAAAAACUAAAAUUGACUUGUUUUUUCUCUCUCUCUCUCUCUCUACCUUACUCUUUCUUCCAUUUCCUUUUUUGCUAAAUUCCUACCACUCAUUCCUCUCUACCUAAUAUUCUUCCUCCAAUUCACGACCAAAUUCUAUCUAUUAUCCCUUACCCGUAUUUAUCCCCCUCCUUCCCUUUUUCUUCUUCUUCUUUUAUCUCUAUUCUCAUCUCUUUUUUGCAAAUAUGAUCAAGUUCAUCCUUUUUAUCCUUUUAAUUCUAAGUGUAAUGGGUUUGAUUUUUCUGCGUCUAUUUAUUUUAUCCAAUGUUAGUUGAUUAUGGGUGAUAAAACUUAGUGAUGUCAAAAGUCAAGAAUUUGAGGGAUGGAUGUGCUUUAGAAAUGGGUUGUCGAAAAAAAAAAGAAGGCUGCAAAAAGAGAAAGACGAGAGAUCUGUGCUAUUGAUUGUUGAUGAAGUGUUAGUUUUGGGUAAAAGUUUGAGACUGAGUUUUAUCCAAUUUAGCACCAAGUGACGGAUUUAAUUAACUUGUGUAGUAAAUGUAGCCAUGUAGGGGUUGGGUUAUUGGACAUAAAUUAGGCUAUAGUGUUUUAAGUGCUAGAAUUAUUGAAAUUUAUUUUGAUUUAAAUUGGGGUGUUUGCUUGGCUUUUGGGGUGGAGUUGUUUGGAAUAAGGCAAUCAUCAUAGUUGAAUUUUUCUCCAAACUUUUAUUUUUGGUAGAAAGAGUUUGUUGGCUCUGGUGUUAGAAGAAAAGCAAUCAACAGAGCUCUUUUAUUUUUCCUUUUUAUCUUUUUGACAAAAAGGGUAGUUUAGGAUAUUUGAAGGAAUUGGUAGCCUAUUGGACAUAUUUUGAAGCAUAAAUAGUGAAAGCAAGGUAGGUGUGUGUAAUUUUUGAAACCUAAGGGGAGCUUCUUGUAAUUGUUAGAGACCUCAAGGGAGGUUUAUGAAAUUAUCCCAAUAUAUAAAUUGCAUCAUGUUUGUCUGAAAAUUCAUUUUAGGAAAUUCUUUUUUUACCUGAAAACGCCAUGUGGCUACCAAAUGAAAUAUUUCAAAGAUAAAAAAGACAUUACAUACUCAUGAUUUAUCCAUUUUUUUUUGCCUUUUUUCCUCCUCUGUUUUUGCUUCACCAACAUUCAAACAGCAAAUCCUAGAUCCACCACCAUAGUCCGCAAUUUCCAGAUAACAAACACUAUCAAAUAUUGUUUAAUAUCCAGAAAUUGUAAAUUACGGAGAUUUUGCUACAAAAGCCUCAUUGCUGCCGCUAUAACAAGACAAACGCCGCUAUAGUUUGAUAAGCAUACAGAAUAGAGGAUUUGUAUGCUAAUUAAUUUUCUUUUUGUUUUCUGAAAAAGGAAUAAUAUUAAUCAUUCGAUCAUGCAAUUCUAAUAGUGCUUAAAUAAUUAGAUUAGAUUGUGGUGCGAUUGGUAUAUGUCAGGAAUGAAUUUGCAUCAUUUUGAUAAUGAGCGAUUAAAUAACUACAAAUGCGACUACUUGUAUUUUUUUUUUUUACAAUAUCGCAACACAUCAUCUGUCCCGCUUUUUAUUUCACUCCAUAUCUCAGCUUUUAUUAUAGUGUCAUUUUUCUUUCACAAACAUCUUAUUCUACUUCUUUUUUAUUUCCUUAAGUUCCAAUAACUACUAACAUAUUGUAAAACACAAAUUUAAUCAUACAAAAAAAAAACAAAAUAUCACUAAAAAAAUGAGAUUUUUAUGAUUUUUUUUGUUGUACUUUUUGUUUUUCUAUUAAGGAAAAUGAUCGGUUUCAUUCUUCACAUUUCACAAAAAUAUUCUUUUCAUCCCUCACUUAAAAACCGAAGCAAUAUCGCCCUUGACAUUUAAAAACUGAAGUUCUUACAUCCCUGAACCCAAAUUUCAAUGUGAAUCAAACUACCAAUCAACUUGAUUACAAAUUUUGGGGAUGUAAUUGGUAGAUCACUUGGUUAACUCACCUUGAUAUUCAUGUAAAAUUUAACGAACCCAAAAAUAAAAAAUAAAAAAUUAUAACAUAAAAAAGAAAUAUUAAUCUUUCCUACAUUAUCAUUAUAUACACUGACGGUGACGGUUUUAUGUACCGCCAUAUCAUUUCAAUUUAAAUUUAAACACCAAAUUUUAUAUUUAUGAUACGCAUCUAGAUUCGCAAGCGGAUAUACAAACGGUGUAUGAAAAGAUUUAUCCAAAAAAAAAACUCUACUAUUCCAAGACAAAGAAUGGCCUUUUAUGUUAUAAUUUUUAUUUUUUUUUUGGUUUAAUAAAUGUCAUGUGAAUAUGAUGAAAUUGACUGGGUGAUUUAUCAAUUCUAUUUCCAAAAUUUAUUACUAGGUUAUUGAAUGGUUUGAUUCAGAUUCAAAAUUAGGUUCAGGGAUGUAAUAGUUUUAAUUUUUAAAUGUCAGGGACGAAUUUGCUUCAUUUUAAAAGUAAAGGACGAAAAGAAUAUUUUUGCGAAAUGUGAAGGAUGAAAUAGGUCAUUUUUCCUUUCUAUUGUAUUAUACUUUUUAAUAUGUUGAAUUUUGUGUUUUACCCUUUAGUAGUCAUUGAAACUUUAGGAAAUAAAAUAAAAUAUUUGUAAAGGAGGAAUGACAAAAUAAUUAAAGAUGUGACAUACGAUAAAAGAGGUAGGAUACAGUGGGUCAUAAUAUGCAAAAAAUGGCAAGUAUUAAGCUACUAAAAAUAAAUGGUAGAAAGAAAGUCCACUUUUGGAAGUUUGAAGUCAAUAUAGCAGCUGAGUCAAAAAAAAAAAAGUCAAUAUAGCAGCCUGUAGAUGUGCUGCAAUCCCCUUAGAACCGGGCUCCGUGUCGUCUUCACCCUUCACUAAUUAGCAACUUGAGCACAUUGCAGACAAACCUUUCCUCUUUGCCUUUGGGGUUAGAAGAUGGGAAAACGCGUCUGCUUCUUCUAUACUUUUGGGCUGUAACGCAGCAGCAUUUAGCAACUGUAAUGAAGUUAAUAAAGUUUAACAGAAGGAUAACAUCAAGGUUUUAGACAAUUAUCCUAGAUCCAAACCUUCCAAUUGCCUGAACCAUAAAGGACUUUAACAUCUUUGGCUCCCGGUUUGAGUGCGCUAGGCUCAAAGAUUGGCGAAGAACGUUUGGCACGGUUAAAUUGAAAACCAGCAUUAAAUGGUGACAGUCCAUUUUGUAUCCUUCCAUUUUUUUUUGUUUGGAUCCAUUUUGGUUCUCUUUUGCAUGGGCGCAAUCUGUAGCAAUAGAUGCUGAUGCAGAUCAGCAGAUGGAUGCUUCCAGUUCCAUAUGGGAUGAAUUGUGAUCAAAGUAUUAAUCUAUCCUUAUGGCUUUGUUUCAUGUUUACCUGCUUGGCAAUGAGAAAAGCCAUGCACGGCUUUCUUUAUUUGUUGAGAGACUGAUCACAUCAAAACCAAGAGAUUCAUCACCUCAAACCGCGCAUGAUUUUUAAUUUAUCAAGUCAGUCAAGAAUUGUGUGGUAGCUUUGUGGGCUGGGAAAGUGGGAAUGCGCCAGAAUUUGCAGAUUGGUUGUGGUCCUGUGGAGUGGACCUGCGCGCAUUGCUAGCUUUGAGUGAUUGGAAAAGUCGGGCGAAUGGAUAAAUAUUGAAUACAUGCAUGCAUGAUAUAAAGUCAUUAGCAACCAAUGUCAAAUAGUCAUUGCAGAAGACUUGUGGGUUCCUCUUUGAUGUCUUGGACCAUUUCGAUAUGUGUUCUUUGAACAUAAUUGUGUGCUUAUCAUUAAUGGCAUGAUGGUAUAAUCUUUCUUUCCUGUCUCUUUUUGUUAUGCGCGCAAGAAUGAUCAACAUCGACAAGUUUGCUUGCGGUUGGUUGUUAGAUGCACGAUUUUGAUUUACUUAUUUGUUUUUGGUAAAUAAAAGUUUGAUUUUAAAGGAGAGGAACAUAGUUCAGGCUAAGGCUCUGUUUGGUAUGAUAUAAAGUAUUUUCCUUAAGAAAAUAUUUUCCAUGGAAGUUCUUUUCUGGGAAAAUAUUCACAUUUUUCAAUGUUUUCUGAUGUUUGGUUGAAAUUUUUAACUACAUUUUUAUUAUCAAAAUUCAACUCCUUCCGCCACUCGCUUUUCUCUUCCACUGCUGGAAACCGAUCUUCCUAAUUCCUACCACUAAAAAUAGCAGAACCGCUCAAAAUGGAAUAAUCCAAGUCAGGCAUAAGGACAAUUCGUUGACUCAUAACUAUUGGCGCCAUAAAAGACAUUACCAAGCUAGACAUAUCAAGACCAUGAAAUGGCUGGUGAUUAAGGUCAAUCAAUGAAAGUGAAAGAACAGGCAUAAAUAUCUUCUCAAGUUGAAGAAAUAGGCUCUGUUCUUUUUCAUAUGAUUAGUGCUCUUAUUGACUCGUAUAUGAAAUUUGGUUUAAAGAUCAUAUACUAGCGCUCAAACCACAACCUCAAAGGCAUUAAAAUCCAGGCAAAUUUGAGCUAAAGAUACAUAAUUUUGAUUAAGAAAACAGUGUAAAGAAAAUUAAAAUGACUGAAGAAAGACAGUGGGAAUUGAUAAUAAUCCAAAUUGUUAACAAAUUCGUAGUGUUUGCGUCACCAGUAAAUUCAUCAGCAUCAAAAGCACAAUGUCAAAGAGAUCAGAGUGAGUAGGGUGAGGCCUUUUUUUUUUUUUGAAUAUGCUACAAGCUUUGAAAGUUUGACAAAUACCUUUAAUAGGCGGCCACAUGCGUUUAUAAAAACAAUUUCGAUAAGUCCGGAAGGGAAGUUAUUUUUCACAAGAUGAACAAAAAUCUUUUACACAGUAAAAUAUUUUCAUUAACUUUUGUGCAACCAAAUAAGGGAAAUUAGGAAAAUAUUUUCCUGAAAAAGAUUUCACUUGAAACAAAUGGACCCGAAAUGAUACUCAUAUACAAUAUUUGUUUAAGACCUGUCUGAAUGAAUCAAUGGGUAUGAAAAGCCGAAUCUGAGGGUUUCAUCAUUAGCUAUUUUGCUAGUUAUUCAACUUGAUUAUCCCUUUGUCCUAAUUUUUUUUAUGAAACAAAAUCAAAACAGAAGCAAAAAAAAUUAGUAAAUAAAUUAAAGGGACACGUAUCUCUCUCACCACCUUCUGUUCCCCUUCCCUCUGUCCCCUCAAAAUCGCCUCAAAGCUAUGUACCUAGUUCGUAUCUAUAUCGCUUUAAAUGGAUUUGUGGCCACACAAGUUUCAUUUCAUUCCAUUUCAGAAUAAAAUAAUCUUUUUUAACUUUUGUUGUAGUACCAUAUUUUAAUGCAAUCGGAUCAUAUCUAAUCUUUAAUUAUAUUAUCUUUCCAGCUAAAGGAUAAACUUGCGAGAAAUAGAAUUUGUGAGAGGACUCGUCGUUUAAUUAAAUUUGGCAAGACCAACUUGUGCAGUGAUAUUUGGGAGGAUGAUCCAAGAAAGAGAAUAUAUUAUUAAAGAUAUUCCAAUGAAAGAUACGUUAGGAGAGGCAAGUGUUACCUUUACACAAAAUGAAGUCCCAGAUUUUAAAAAAUUGCUCAGCAAAAACGAACUAAAAUAUUCAUAAACAUGCAAAGAUAAUGUAAGUUUGCAGAAAAUUAUUAUAGGAAAAGAUGCUUUUUUGUCAGCUUUAAUUGAGGAAAAUAAGAAUAUCAUAAGUAGGAAGAGCUACAAUGCUCGAUUCUAUUAUACAAGCAUUGUUGAUCUAGAAAAUGUUGGAUAAGACAUAAAAGAAGGCAUGGGUGCAUUCCGGCUCAAUCUAUCAAAAGGGCCCUCACAGAACAAGGAAAGAAAAAGCAAAAUACCAAUCUGGGCAGCUUGGAUUUAUUGCAAACAGGAUACAAGUCUUACGAUCAAACCAGAAGAGCCAUAAUCAAUACAAUAUUGCAGAAGCUCAACACGAAGCUUCUUUAUUCGGUGCAUAAAACUCUCAAAUCAUACUUGAUGCUAUGCUCACAAUUACCCAAACCAAGUUUUAACUUUUAAUAGUUUUAUUUUUUUUUUCUCUCAAGUUAAAGGAUUUCCACAAAAUCAAUAUUUGACAUACGCACUGGUGGUGUUGACAUCUUUGGCGAGAGUCAAAAGCAGUGGCAUAAGCAAGCACUUCGAAGUGUCUUGCUUGUAGACAAAUCCCUUGCAAUUGCAAUCAUUGGUGCACUUGUCUCUGCAUGCUCCAAAUUCCAUUUCCACUUCUUGACUAUCAGAAGACCACUGGUGGUUCAAGAAGGAUUGCACCCCAUCAAGCUUGAAAUAUUUUGCCUUUGGUUUCUUCCCACACGAGCCCAACUUUGGUGGUUGACAAUUUUCUGUCCAUGCCAAGAGCCCUUUUGGUGUAGGACAUGCCACACACAUCCCAUUUUGGCACAAUCCAAAAUUACCACAUUUUGUCGGCAAAGCACAUGCUGUUGCAAGAUCACUUGGAAAGAAAGUAUAGGUCUGCAUCCAUCUAUCAAAUCUGACUUUGUCAUAGUAAGUAUAAGCCUUGACAUUGCCGUCAGUUUCAAGCCUCAGAAAAGAGUACGUUGCAUUGUAAUUUAGUUUACUGAGUUGUUGAAUCCCGUCAACCUGUGGUUUUGGUGCUGGCGAUUCGAAUAUUUCAAAGAUAAGGUUCCAAGCUAUUGGAGUAGGCUCCCACGUCGAAGGUUGGGUGUUAAACCUUACAGUACUUCCAAAAUUCCCCGGCCAACCAUUGUAGCGAACUUGUUGGCCAGCGUUGUUUAGAUACAAGAGGAGGCCAUCAUCUCCAAGCACUAAGCUGUACUUUCGAUCGGAGCCAUCAACAUCAGAAGUUCGACUGACAAGCUUGUUUACGCCACUCUCGCGAAGGGACUGCCCAACUAGUAACGAAUCAACUGGAUAAUCAAAGCUUUGCCAAAUGAACUUUCCCUUUGUAUCAUACAGCACAAG
RNAcentral lists this long non-coding RNA (8213 nucleotides) under Coffea arabica (coffee). RNAcentral describes it as "long non-coding RNA (CARA_LNC003897)". The record is from RNAcentral. Lineage: Eukaryota; Viridiplantae; Streptophyta; Magnoliopsida; Gentianales; Rubiaceae.